This 253-nucleotide ribosomal RNA is filed under the name uncultured bacterium. RNAcentral's name for it is "partial 16S ribosomal RNA". It matches the Rfam family "Bacterial small subunit ribosomal RNA", at positions 524 to 776 of the family's 1533-position model. The record is from RNAcentral.
UACAGAGAUGGCAAGCGUUGUUCGGAAUCACUGGGCUUAAAGCGCGUGUAGGCGGGGUGAAAGGUGCCUUGUGAAAUCCCUCGGCUCAACCGAGGAAUGGCUUGGCAAACCGGCACUCUUGAGGCAGGUAGAGGUAACUGGAACCAUUGGUGGAGCGGUGAAAUGCGUAGAGAUCAAUGGGAACGCCGGUGGCGAAAGCGAGUUACUGGGCCUGUUCUGACGCUGAGACGCGAAAGCGUGGGUAGCAAACAGG